RNAcentral lists this non-coding RNA (807 nucleotides) under Haemonchus placei. RNAcentral's name for it is "Eukaryotic large subunit ribosomal RNA". It matches the Rfam family "Eukaryotic large subunit ribosomal RNA", at positions 666 to 1454 of the family's 3401-position model. Lineage: Eukaryota; Metazoa; Nematoda; Chromadorea; Rhabditida; Trichostrongylidae. The record is from Rfam by way of RNAcentral.
CCGAGGAGUGUAACUUGUAUGCGAGUCGAGAGGUGGCAAAACCCCAAGGCGUAAUGAAAGUAAAGGUCGGUUAACCGGCUGACAUGGGAUCUGCUUUUCGAAGCAGCGCACCAUGGCCCUGUCUUGUCUGCAUGCAGAUGGGCAGCGGUAGAGCGUACAGGUUGCGACCCGAAAGAUGGUGAACUAUGCCUGAGCAGGACGAAGUCAGAGGAAACUCUGGUGGAAGUCCGUAUCGGUUCUGACGUGCAAAUCGAUCGAUAGACUUGGGUAUAGGGGCGAAAGACUAAUCGAACCAUCUAGUAGCUGGUUCCCUCCGAAGUUUCCCCCAGGAUAGCUGGAGUUCAUUGCGGUUAUAUCCGGUAAAGCGAAUGAUUAGAGGACUUGGGGUCGAAACGACCUCAACCUAUUCUCAAACUUUCAAUGGGUAUGUUGUCUCGGUUUCUUUGUUGAACUGUUGACACGAACGCGAGCUCCAAGUGGGCCAUUUUUGGUAAGCAGAACUGGCGCUGUGGGAUGAACCAAACGUUGGUUAAGGUGCCUAACUUCUCGCUCAUGAGACCCCAUAAAAGGCGUUGGUUGAUAUAGACAGCAGGACGGUGGCCAUGGAAGUCGGUACCCGCUAAGGAGUGUGCAGCAACUCUUCUGCCGAAUUAUCUAGCCUUGAAAAUGGAUGGCGCUUGAGUGGAACACCUAUAUCCAGCCGUUGCUGGCUUGUGCGUUGUCUAGCGCCCGGCCGCAGGGUCGUGGCGAUUAAUUCGAAGAAUUGGACAUAGGCCCAGCUGGAGCCUUCCUUAGUGCGAAUUUCGG